RNAcentral lists this ribosomal RNA (521 nucleotides) under Ralstonia detusculanense. RNAcentral describes it as "bacterial SSU rRNA". It matches the Rfam family "Bacterial small subunit ribosomal RNA", at positions 1 to 515 of the family's 1533-position model. The record is from RNAcentral. Lineage: Bacteria; Pseudomonadati; Pseudomonadota; Betaproteobacteria; Burkholderiales; Burkholderiaceae.
UGGAGAGAUUUGAUCCUGGCUCAGAUUGAACGCUGGCGGCAUGCCUUACACAUGCAAGUCGAACGGCAGCAUGAUCUAGCUUGCUAGAUUGAUGGCGAGUGGCGAACGGGUGAGUAAUACAUCGGAACGUGCCCUGUAGUGGGGGAUAACUAGUCGAAAGAUUAGCUAAUACCGCAUACGACCUGAGGGUGAAAGUGGGGGACCGCAAGGCCUCAUGCUAUAGGAGCGGCCGAUGUCUGAUUAGCUAGUUGGUGAGGUAAAGGCUCACCAAGGCGACGAUCAGUAGCUGGUCUGAGAGGACGAUCAGCCACACUGGGACUGAGACACGGCCCAGACUCCUACGGGAGGCAGCAGUGGGGAAUUUUGGACAAUGGGCGAAAGCCUGAUCCAGCAAUGCCGCGUGUGUGAAGAAGGCCUUCGGGUUGUAAAGCACUUUUGUCCGGAAAGAAAUGGCUCUGGUUAAUACCUGGGGUCGAUGACGGUACCGGAAGAAUAAGGACCGGCUAACUACGUGCCACACC